RNAcentral lists this ribosomal RNA (253 nucleotides) under uncultured bacterium. RNAcentral's name for it is "partial 16S ribosomal RNA". It matches the Rfam family "Bacterial small subunit ribosomal RNA", at positions 524 to 776 of the family's 1533-position model. The record is from RNAcentral.
UACGUAGGGUGCGAGCGUUAAUCAGAAUUACUGGGCGUAAAGCGUGCGCAGGCGGUGAUGUAAGACAGUUGUGAAAUCCCCGGGCUUAACCUGGGAAUGGCAUUUGGGACUGCAAGGCUUGAGUGCGGCAGAGGAGACUGGAAUUCCUGGUGUAGCAGUGAAAUGCGUAGAUAUCAGGAGGAAUACCGAUGGCGAAGGCAGGUCUCUGGGCUGACACUGACGCUCAUGCACGAAAGCGUGGGGAGCAAACAGG